CCUACGGGUGGCUGCAGUGGGGAAUAUUGGACAAUGGGCGAAAGCCUGAUCCAGCCAUGCCGCGUGUGUGAAGAAGGCCUUCGGGUUGUAAAGCACUUUCAGUGGGGAAGAAAGCCUUGGGGCUAAUACCCUCGAGGAAGGACAUCACCCACAGAAGAAGCACCGGCUAACUCCGUGCCAGCAGCCGCGGUAAUACGGAGGGUGCGAGCGUUAAUCGGAAUUACUGGGCGUAAAGCGCGCGUAGGCGGUCUGAUAAGCCGGUUGUGAAAGCCCCGGGCUCAACCUGGGAACGGCAUCCGGAACUGUCAGGCUAGAGUGCAGGAGAGGAAGGUGGAAUUCCCGGUGUAGCGGUGAAAGGGGUAGAGAUCGGGAGGAAUACCAGUGGCGAAGGCGGCCUUCUGGACUGACACUGACGCUGAGGUGCGAAAGCGUGGGUAGCAAACAGGAUUAGAUACCCCAGUAGU
This 464-nucleotide ribosomal RNA is filed under the name Vreelandella stevensii. RNAcentral describes it as "partial 16S ribosomal RNA". It matches the Rfam family "Bacterial small subunit ribosomal RNA", at positions 338 to 794 of the family's 1533-position model. Lineage: Bacteria; Pseudomonadati; Pseudomonadota; Gammaproteobacteria; Oceanospirillales; Halomonadaceae. The record is from RNAcentral.